Molecule: ribosomal RNA, 2896 nt
Filed under: metagenome
Description: bacterial LSU rRNA
Rfam family: Bacterial large subunit ribosomal RNA
Source: RNAcentral
UUAAGGGCGUGCGGGGAAUGCCUUGGCACUAUAAGACGAUGAAGGACGCGACUACCUGCGAAAAGCUUUGGGGAGCUGGAAGUAAGCAAUGAACCAGAGAUAUCCGAAUGGGGGAACCCGGCACAAGUAAUGUUGUGUCAUCCACUAGUGAAUACAUAGCUAGUGAGAAGGAAACCCAGGGAACUGAAACAUCUAAGUACCUGGAGGAAAAGAAAGAAAAUCGAUUCCCUAAGUAGCGGCGAGCGAAAAGGGAGGAGCCCAAACCAACCUUAGGGUUGGGGUUAUAGGACUGCGAGGUACAAAGCUGAGGAUAGUAGAAUUAUUUUGGGAAAAUAAGCCAAAGAGGGUGAAAGCCCCGUAUACGAAAUCUGAGGUGGAGUUAGCAGUAUCCUGAGUACGGCGAGACACGAGAAAUCUUGUCGGAAUUAUCGGAGACCACUCCGAAAGGCUAAAUACUAUAUAGUGACCGAUAGUGAACCAGUACCGUGAGGGAAAGGUGAAAAGAACCCCGAGAGGGGAGUGAAAGAGAACCUGAAACCGCAUGCCUACAAGAAGUUAGAGGGCGUUAAAGCCUGAUAGCGUGCCUAUUGCAGAAUGAACCGGCGAGUUAUUUUGGUAUGCAAGGUUAAGUUGAAGAGACGGAGCCAAAGGGAAACCAAGUCUUAAUAGGGCGAAAGUAUACUGAAAUAGACCCGAAACCAGGUGAUCUAACCAUGACCAGGUUGAAGUGUGGGUAAGACCACAUGGAGGACCGAACCGACGCUCGUUGAAAAGAUCGCGGAUGAGUUGUGGUUAGCGGAGAAAUUCCAAUCGAACCUGGAUAUAGCUGGUUCUCCCCGAAAUAGCUUUAGGGCUAGCCUUGGAAGAAGAUAAGUGGAGGUAGAGCACUGAAUAUAUGAUGGCUUCGCGAGAGGUACUGAAUAUAAUCAAACUCCAAAUGCUACUUAUUAUUAUCCAGGAGUCAGACUGUGGGGGAUAAGCUCCAUAGUCGAGAGGGAAACAGCCCAGACCGCCAGAUAAGGUCCCAAAAUCUAUGCUAAGUGUAAAAGGAAGUGAAGAUGCUUAGACAGCUAGGAUGUUGGCUUAGAAGCAGCCAUCAUUAAAAGAGUGCGUAACAGCUCACUAGUCGAGUGACUUUGCGCCGAAAAUGUACCGGGGCUAAGCAUAGUACCGAAGCUGCGGAUUAUUCUAAAGAAUAGUGGUAGGGGAGCGUUCUAACAUCAACGAAGCUAUACCGUGAGGAGUAGUGGAGAGGUUAGAAGUGAGAAUGCCGGUGUGAGUAACGAAUGUGGGUGAGAAUCCCACACACCGAUUGUCUAAGGUUUUCUGGGGAAGGUUCGUCCGCCCAGAGUUAGUCGGGACCUAAGGCGAGGCCGAAAGGCGUAGUCGAUGGACGACAGGUAAAGAUUCCUGUACCCGCAUAUAGGUGAAGUAGUGACAAAGAAGGCUAAGUUGAGCCCACGGCUGGAAGAGUGGGUCCAAGCGAGGUAGCUGGUGCAUAGGCAAAUCCGUGCACCGAUAAGGCAAAGACGUGAUGGGGAGUGAACGCUGCGGCAAGUAACGAAGCAACUGACGCCAGCUUUCAAGAAAAGCUGCUAGCAUUAACUAUAUGUGGCCCGUACCGAGAACGAACACACGUGGACAAGGAGAAAAUCCUAAGGUGAGCGAGAAAAUUGUUGUUAAGGAACUCUGCAAAAUGACCCCGUAAGUUAGCGAGAAGGGGAGCUCUAGAAAUAGAGCCGCAGUGAAGAGACCCAAUCGACUGUUUAUCAAAAACACAGCUCUAUGCUAAGCCGUAAGGCGAUGUAUAUGGGGUGACGCCUGCCCAGUGCUGGAAGGUUAAGAGGAGGGGUUAGAAUUAAUUUAUUAAUUCGAAGCUCUAAAUUUAAGCCCCAGUGAACGGCGGCCGUAACUAUAACGGUCCUAAGGUAGCGAAAUUCCUUGUCGGGUAAGUUCCGACGCGCACGAAAGGCGUAACGAAUUGGGUGCUGUCUCAACAACAAACUCGGUGAAAUCUUAGUACCUGUGAAAAUGCAGGUUACCCGCGACUAGACGGAAAGACCCCAUGGAGCUUUACUACAGCUUGAUAUUGAAAAUUGGGCCAACAUGUACAGGAUAGGUAGGAGACAAUGAAACCGGGGCGUCAGCUUCGGCGGAGUCACCGUUGGGAUACUACUCUUGUUGGUACGGUUUUCUAACUUAGACCCUUGAAGCAGGGCUAAGGACAGUGUCUGGUGGGUAGUUUGACUGGGGCGGUCGCCUCCUAAAGAGUAACGGAGGCGCUCAAAGGUACCCUCAGCAUGGAUGGAAACCAUGCAAAGAGUGUAAAGGCAUAAGGGUGCUUGACUGCGAGACGUACAUGUCGAGCAGGGACGAAAGUCGGACUUAGUGAUCAGGCGGUUCCGAGUGGAAGGGCCGCAGCUUAACGGAUAAAAGUUACCCUGGGGAUAACAGGCUUAUUUCCCCCAAGAGUUCACAUCGACGGGGAAGUUUGGCACCUCGAUGUCGGCUCAUCGCAUCCUGGAGGCGUAGUCGCUUCCAAGGGUUGGGCUGUUCGCCCAUUAAAGCGGUACGCGAGCUGGGUUCAGAACGUCGUGAGACAGUUCGGUCCCUAUCUGUCGUGGGCGCAGGAAGUUUGAAAGGAUCUGUUCUUAGUACGAAAGGACCAGAAUGGACACACCAAUGGUGCACCAGUUGUCACGCCAGUGGCACAGCUGGGUAGCUAAGUGUGGAAAGGAUAAACGCUGAAAGCAUCUAAGCGUGAAACCAACCUUAAGAUGAGACUUCCCAUUCUAUAUGAAGUAAGACCCCUUGAAAGUGACAAGGUUGAUAGGUCACAAAUGUAAGCACAGCGAUGUGUUAAGUUGAGUGAUACUAAUAGGUCGAGGACUUAAUU